CAGCCGCCGCGGGAAUACGAAGGGUGCAAGCGUUACUCGGAAUUACUGGGCGUAAAGCGUGCGUAGGCGGUGAGUUAAGUCUGCUGUGGAAUCCCCGGGCUCAACCUGGGAACUGCAUUUGUGACUGGCAAGCUAGAGUGUGGCAGAGGGGGGUGGAAUUCCGCGUGUAGCAGUGAAAUGCGUAGAUAUGCGGAGGAACACCGAUGGCGAAGGCAGCCCCCUGGGCCAACACUGACGCUCAUGCACGAAAGCGUGGGGAGCAAACAGGAUUAGAUACCCCGGUAGUCCCUGUCUCUUAUAA
RNAcentral lists this ribosomal RNA (301 nucleotides) under uncultured bacterium. Its description in RNAcentral is "partial 16S ribosomal RNA". It matches the Rfam family "Bacterial small subunit ribosomal RNA", at positions 509 to 809 of the family's 1533-position model. The record is from RNAcentral.